CCUACGGGUGGCAGCAGUGAGGAAUAUUGGUCAAUGGACGAGAGUCUGAACCAGCCAAGUAGCGUGAAGGAUGACUGCCCUAUGGGUUGUAAACUUCUUUUAUAAAGGAAUAAAACGAGGCACGUGUGCCUUUUUGCAUGUACUUUAUGAAUAAGGAUCGGCUAACUCCGUGCCAGCAGCCGCGGUAAUACGGAGGAUCCGAGCGUUAUCCGGAUUUAUUGGGUUUAAAGGGAGCGUAGAUGGGUUGUUAAGUCAGUUGUGAAAGUUUGCGGCUCAACCGUAAAAUUGCAAUUGAUACUGGCAGUCUCGAGUACAGUUGAGGUAGGCGGAAUUCGUGGUGUAGCGGUGAAAUGCUUAGAUAUCGCGAAGAACCCCGAUUGCGAAGGCAGCAUACUAAACUGUGACUGACAUUGAUGCUCGAAAGUGUGUGUAUCAAACAGGAUUAGAUACCCUAGUAGUC
This 460-nucleotide ribosomal RNA is filed under the name uncultured bacterium. Its description in RNAcentral is "partial 16S ribosomal RNA". It matches the Rfam family "Bacterial small subunit ribosomal RNA", at positions 338 to 795 of the family's 1533-position model. The record is from RNAcentral.